CAAAAACAUAGCUAUAUGAAUUAAUAUAUAGUAUUUUCUGCUCAAUGAAUAUUUAAAUAGCCGCAGUACCCUGACUGUGCUAAGGUAGCGCAAUCAAUUGACUUUUGAAUGAAGUCCUGUAUGAAAGAAACCAUGGAGGGCUACUCUCUCAUUGAUAAUAAGUGAAUUUACUUAGGGAGUGCAAAUUCUCCCAAUUAAAUAAUAGACGAGAAGACCCUAGAAAUUUUGAGAUAACUUUUUGUUGGGGCAACAAAGUAGCAAAGUAAUCUACUAUUAUAACCAGUAAUAACUAAUUGGCAAGAUUAAAUUACUCUAGGGAUAACAGCAUAAUUUGAAAGAGUUUGUGACCUCGAUGUUGGAUUAGGGAAUUUACGUCUAGAAGAUAAACUAAGAGCUCUGUUCGAGCA
RNAcentral lists this ribosomal RNA (407 nucleotides) under Austrochloritis disjuncta. RNAcentral describes it as "partial 16S ribosomal RNA". It matches the Rfam family "Bacterial large subunit ribosomal RNA", at positions 1808 to 2587 of the family's 2925-position model. Lineage: Eukaryota; Metazoa; Mollusca; Gastropoda; Stylommatophora; Camaenidae. The record is from RNAcentral.